UUUUAUAUGUUAAAGUAGACUUACAGGACCCUGGGGGGUCGGGAUAAGAUUGUCUUUUGCCCUGAGCAAAGUGUCCUCAUGGAGGCAGCCAGCUCCUAUAGGAAUGCCACUCUGCCUGUUUCAAGGACUUGUCGCUGGGCUGUAGGCAGUAAGGGAACUUACUUUUUUCUUUUGACUUUGUUUCCCAUACCACAAACACUCAAGUUGGGGAGAUCCGCUGGGCCAGCCUGAAGGGUCCUGACCGGGGCCCAGGGCAGGGACAGCAGGGAAAGGAUGAAGCUGGCUUGUCCCCAGACCAUCACCGGGGACUGGGAUACGGCCCUAAGGCUGGUGACAGAGGGAGCCUCCCAAGGCCACCCCCCUUGUGCAGGAGGCCCCCACCAGGGGCUACGCAACACCACUGGAGGGCCCAGAACUCGGUGGGACGCGGGGUCUGGCUGAUCACUGCCUAGUUGAGACCAGGCCAGGACCUUUUAAAGCCAAAUAGGCAGUAGUGUCUUUCCAGGUACGCUCGGGUGGGGAGCUCCCCAGGCAUUGCUGUAAGGGAGGCCCCUGCCCUCUGUGUCUCCAUCAACCGUCAACAAAUAUCAGCCUCCAGGUCCCCAGCCCCCGUGGGCCUCUCGGACCCCAGCUUCUCCAUCGGCCACUGCCCUGUGUCCUUAACUUGGAGAAAUUAAAAGACAAAAAAGAAAGUUUUCACUCUGAAGAUCCUUAACUUGUCCUGGGACAGCCAUCAUCUAGCCGCCUCUGCAGACUCAGCACCCCAAGCCAGGUUCCUGUUAGCUCAGGUCCCGAGAGUGGCCCUAUGGAUACCUCUUCUGCACUGGUGAGGGCAGCGGACACCAUUCCUUCCCAGUUCGGGACGCCGCCUUCCUGGGCCAGGGACCCAACCGGGACCUGCCUAACCACGCUCGCACUUGGGUCCAGACCCUGGACCGGACGGGAGACAUCCAGCAGCAAAUGUGCGCCCCCCCCCCCCAAACUCAAAGGGCCCAUAACCCAUAGCCCAAGCCUCAGCAGUCCCGGCCGGGAGAAAACUCCCCCAAGAGCACGUAGGAAAGGUUCACGGACACCCUGGGAGAGGCACAACACCCGCUGCUCCUGCCUGCUGGCCUUCCUACUCCCCUACCCAGCUGGGGGAUGCCACCUUCCUAGGGCACCGACCAAGCUUCCGUCAGCAGCGGUGACCAGAGGCCUCCAAAGGACUCACCAGUGCCGGCCUUCCUUCUCUCUGGGCUCAGCCAGGGACUUCGGGAACCAAGGCUGGAAAACUAAAUGUGCCUGACUGCGGGAGGGCUGGGUCACUUGCGUGGACGCCACUCCGUCCUGGAGCAUCUGGGCCUCUGUGCUGUGUGGACUCUCCCACCGCUUCACCGGUCAUUCCUUCAGGGGUCACAGCAGGGCCUUCUGGACCAACCCGGCCAGCGUGGGGACCCUGGAGCCGGCAGGCCUGUGGUGGGGUGCUGGAUGCCGGGGCCAGGCACAGCUGCAGUGGGGACCCGGGCCCUUUGCAGGGUGAGAAGGCACCAGCUCACAGGGAGUGCCCAUGUGGGGGGCCAUUUCGCCAGGGCUGCACCCGCCUCCCUCUACCCACUGGGCCCUCCUCAGGACAGCGUCUGCCCAAUCAGAGGUGGGGCGAACUAGGACAGGGAAAGAAAAAGCAGUCUGUGCUGGGGUUGGGGGUGGGGUAGGGGAGAGGAAGCUGACCCAGGAA
Lynx canadensis (Canada lynx) is the source of this 1714-nucleotide long non-coding RNA. RefSeq lists it as uncharacterized. Lineage: Eukaryota; Metazoa; Chordata; Mammalia; Carnivora; Felidae. The transcript has 3 exons. The record is from RefSeq and is a predicted model, not a curated record.